Molecule: long non-coding RNA, 744 nt
Filed under: Gallus gallus (chicken)
Lineage: Eukaryota; Metazoa; Chordata; Aves; Galliformes; Phasianidae
Source: RNAcentral
CAGGGUCUUCUUAAAAUCAUAAUACAAAGAUUUGUGCUGUAGCAGUCCUCCACUUUGCACUGUAACAAUAAGGCUUACUGUACUUUAAAUACAAAGCUGUUACAUCUGCAGUUAUGAACCACUGGCUUUAACAAACAUCAUUUUAUAAUUGCUUUUUGCUUCCUUUUUGUUUUCUGGGACCGCAGCUUCAUCGUGUUUUUCAGCAGCUUGCAGUUCCUCUGCAGAUUCAUCUUGCUCUGAAUCAGAGCCACUUUCGGAGUCCUCUGAACUCUCAUGGUCAGAGGAAUGCCCAGCUGCCUCUUCUUCACCUUCCUGAAAUACCUCACUGAAACCCAGUCCACAAUGGCGCCGGUUUCGUCCAGACAUCGUGCUGUCCAUGCUCUGCUGGUACUGAGACUCCAGUUCUUCAUUCAUUUUCUUGUCUUCUUCCCCUGUCCUGAAGUGAGAGGUUGAUCUGUGGUCUCCGAUAACAAGGCGGCCAGUAUGUUCUUUCUUCCCCGCGCCCAUCAGCCUCAGGAACUUCUGCUUCCUCUCCUCGUUGCCGAGGUCCGCUGCCUGCCAGCUGCCGGAGCCGUCGGGAGAGGCCGCUCGCUUGAGGCCGUGGCGAGCCUGCGACUCCCGGGCCGAGCUCAUGGCCGCGGCUGGGUGACCGGGCCGCUGCGCCGCCUUCCUGCCGGAGCCGCUCCCUCCGCCGGCGCCGGGUCACGGCCCCGGGGUCGAGCGCGAGGGACGCCGGGAUCGGUA